This 484-nucleotide ribosomal RNA is filed under the name uncultured bacterium. RNAcentral's name for it is "partial 16S ribosomal RNA". It matches the Rfam family "Bacterial small subunit ribosomal RNA", at positions 28 to 523 of the family's 1533-position model. The record is from RNAcentral.
GACGAACGCUGGCGGCGUGCUUAACACAUGCAAGUCGAACGAUGAACCCGGAGCUUGCUCCGGUGGAUUAGUGGCGAACGGGUGAGUAACACGUGAGUAACCUGCCCUUGACUCUGGGAUAACUGCGGGAAACUGUAGCUAAUACCGGAUACGACCCUCGGCGGCAUCGCCAGGGGGUGGAAAGAAUUUCGGUCAAGGAUGGACUCGCGGCCUAUCAGCUAGUUGGUGAGGUAACGGCUCACCAAGGCGACGACGGGUAGCCGGCCUGAGAGGGUGACCGGCCACACUGGGACUGAGACACGGCCCAGACUCCUACGGGAGGCGGCAGUGGGGAAUAUUGCACAAUGGGCGCAAGCCUGAUGCAGCGACGCCGCGUGAGGGAUGACGGCCUUCGGGUUGUAAACCUCUUUUAGUAGGGAAGAAGCGAAAGUGACGGUACCUGCAGAAAAAGCACCGGCUAACUACGUGCCAGCAGCCGCAGUAA